UUUUUUCCUUUUUUUUU
RNAcentral lists this small RNA (17 nucleotides) under Arabidopsis thaliana (thale cress). Its description in RNAcentral is "ATSL304530". Lineage: Eukaryota; Viridiplantae; Streptophyta; Magnoliopsida; Brassicales; Brassicaceae. The record is from RNAcentral.